UCGAGAAUUUUUCACAAUGGGCGAAAGCCUGAUGGAGCGACGCCGCGUGGGGGAUGAAGGGCUUCGGCUCGUAAACCCCUGUCAUUCGAGAACAAACCCUGCGGUUUAACAGAUCGCGGGCUGAUAGUAUCGGAAGAGGAAGGGACGGCUAACUCUGUGCCAGCAGCCGCGGUAAUACAGAGGUCCCAAGCGUUGUUCGGAUUUACUGGGCGUAAAGGGUGCGUAGGCGGCGAGGAAAGUUUGAGGUGAAAUCUCCAGGCUCAACUUGGAAAAUGCCUUGAAGACUUCCUUGCUCGAGGGUCGUAGAGGAGACUGGAAUUCUCGGUGUAGCAGUGAAAUGCGUAGAUAUCGAGAGGAACACCAGUGGCGAAAGCGGGUCUCUGGACGACACCUGACGCUGAGGCACGAAAGCCAGGGGAGCAAACG
Molecule: ribosomal RNA, 426 nt
Filed under: uncultured Verrucomicrobiota bacterium
Lineage: Bacteria; Pseudomonadati; Verrucomicrobiota
Description: uncultured Verrucomicrobia bacterium partial 16S ribosomal RNA
Rfam family: Bacterial small subunit ribosomal RNA
Source: RNAcentral